GGAUCAAUACGUCGGUCGUGCCUUCGGUACGCACUGGUGUCGUUGAUUUCUCCCUUCUGAUGAACCAUGAUGUCAUUAAUUUGGUGUUGUGGGGAGUCAGGACUGUUACUUUGAAAAAAUUAGAGUGUUUAAAGCAGGCAAACGCUUGAAUACAUUAGCAUGGAAUAAUGAAAUAGGACGUUCGAACCUAUUUUGUUGGUUUCUAGGUACAACGUA
RNAcentral lists this ribosomal RNA (216 nucleotides) under uncultured Glomus. RNAcentral's name for it is "partial small subunit ribosomal RNA". The stretch from base 38 to 216 matches the Rfam family "Eukaryotic small subunit ribosomal RNA", at positions 684 to 864 of the family's 1831-position model. Lineage: Eukaryota; Fungi; Glomeromycota; Glomeromycetes; Glomerales; Glomeraceae. The record is from RNAcentral.